Lagenorhynchus albirostris (white-beaked dolphin) is the source of this 1658-nucleotide long non-coding RNA. RefSeq lists it as uncharacterized. Lineage: Eukaryota; Metazoa; Chordata; Mammalia; Artiodactyla; Delphinidae. The transcript has 2 exons. The record is from RefSeq and is a predicted model, not a curated record.
GCUCAGUGGCCAUGGCUCACGGGCCCAGCUGCUCUGCGGCAUGUGGGAUCUUCCCGGACCAGAACACGAACCCGUGUCCCCUGCAUCGGCAGGCGGACUCUCAACCACUGUGCCACCAGGGAAGCCCAUGUACUAUUAUUAUUAUUGUCUCUUACUCUGGGUUCCAGACCUGACUCUCUCCAAGAGGUCCUGAGGGAAGAUGACCAUCUCUCUGGGGAUCAGUGUGUCAGGGCCCAUGCAGCCUCCCCCAGCUCUGUAUUCAGCCAGAUGUGGCUCUGUACACACAGCAGAUGAGGCAGGCUGGGAGGGCCGGGACCGGACGGGACUACCCAUCGGGCUGGGGAAGGUGCUGGUAGGAUGGCCUCAGCUGCAGCUGCUGGGCAGCCGUCCAGGGUGACAGGCAGAACGCAGCGUGCAAGGGUGUGGAAACAGACAAUAGUCUGCAGCUGGGGAGGUGGGUGAGUGGUGGAUCUUCUAGCAUUUGGUAACAGGGUAUCUCUACCAGCAGGUGGGCCACAGAAGCGGAGCCUGAAAUCUAAGCAGGCAGGCAGCCUCAGGAGAGUCUGUCAGCAGAUCCCAGCAAAGGCUAUAUCUGGUGGGGAGAGGCCAGAGAGAACAGAGCAAGGCCCCAGGCCUCGAAGGACAGACAGGCAACCAAAACAAAGCUGCAGGCCUAGGACACAGGGAGAAGUGGCAUUGCUAGGACUCGGCCUCAAACCCAACCCGCAGGGUGGGAGAAGGCCUGCAUGGGCUGAUAGUAGGACAGGUCCUGAUGUGAGCCAGCCUGACCCCUGAUCCCUGGCCAGAGCCAGGCUGAUCGCCAGGGUAGUAGGUGCAGGCCUGAGACUGUGAUGUCCCCACGAUGUGGGUGCAGGAGAGGGAAGUUGGAAGUCAUUACAGGGUAACUCCGAUCUCUGUCUCUCUAUCACACACACACACACACACACACACACACUCUCUCUCUCUCUCUCUCUCUCUCUCUCUCUCUCUAGCUACUACUCCAGUUUUCCCGGUUCUUGCCCUUUUGACUACUUUUUCUCCCCCAAAUCCUGCCUGCUGAUAAAGAACCAAAAUAGGUUGAUCAACUUUUUUUUUAAUGAAAAGUCCAGUCAGUCCAUCAGGGCCUAAGAGCUUCUCUGAUAGUCACCUGGCAAGUGACUUGCCACUAGGCCCCUGCUCUGUUCCCCAAUGGAAGGAGCAGGCUGCAGCAGUGAACAGGGAGCUGGACCCAAUUAAGGAAGGACGGUGGGGGUCCCCGUAGCCCCUGACUUGGGUUCAGCUCUUGCUUGUCUCUUUUUUAGGCUCAGAUAACGCCUCCAUAAACUCUGCUCCAGACUCAUGUCUUGCCAAUGACCCUGAAGACUUUGUCUUGGAGACUAAGUGAUCUUGGGAGCCAGGUUCAAGGUUCAUCUGUGGCAGACCCACAUCCUUACAGACGUGGAAACUGCACCCGUACUCAUCUGUAUGGUCUGCAAGUUCUCCACAGGCAGGAGUUCCAGCUGCAGAGCACAGAGUCCAGCCCAGGUCCCCCCUCCUACCAUGCUGCACAAAUCCUUCACAAUGGGUCCUGCGGGGGACCAGCUAUCUGAUUUGCCAAGGCCCAGUGCAAAAUGAAAAUACAGCGCUCCUUGUUAAAAUUAUUAAAAAUUUCAAGAUGA